This 123-nucleotide ribosomal RNA is filed under the name Urosaurus ornatus. RNAcentral's name for it is "partial 16S large subunit ribosomal RNA". Lineage: Eukaryota; Metazoa; Chordata; Lepidosauria; Squamata; Phrynosomatidae. The record is from RNAcentral.
GUUGCUUUUUUCAGUACGAAAGGACCGAAAAAGCGGGACCUAUGUUAAAAACAUGUCCUAAACAAUAAAGCUAAAAUCAACUAAAGCUUAUUCAACAAAACUUGUCCGGAGAUAACGGACUUA